GGGACCCUACGGGUGCCGCGUUCGGAAUAGAGUACGAUUCGAAACCACCUAACGAGGAACGAUCGGAGGGCAAGUCUGGUGCCAGCAGCCGCGGUAAUUCCAGCUCCAAUAGCGUACGUUAAAGUUGCUGCAGUUAAAAGCUCGUAGUUGAACGUUCGGGUUCCGCGGGACGGGGCCGCCCCGCGAGGGACGGCGCCGCCCCGGGGCUCGUGAUAUCUCAUCUCGCCGCCCGUCGCGAGGCGGACGGAGGGAUGGAUGAGGUUACCUGGAAAAAAAUCGGGGCGAUCUAGGCGGGCGAACCUCGCCAACGAACGAUCGGACAUGGGAUAACGGAAGAGGGCGUCGGCUCGACUUCGUCGGUUCCUCGGGCCGAGGCACGUACGGUGAAUAGGGACGGUCGGGGCCGCCCGUACCGGGUCGUGAGAGGUGAAAUUCUAGGAUCGACCCCGAGACGAACCGCCGCGAAAGCAUUCGGCAAGGACGC
Molecule: ribosomal RNA, 484 nt
Filed under: uncultured eukaryote
Lineage: Eukaryota
Description: bacterial SSU rRNA
Rfam family: Eukaryotic small subunit ribosomal RNA
Source: RNAcentral